GUGAGGAAUAUUGGUCAAUGGGCGCAAGCCUGAACCAGCCAUGUCGCGUGCAGGAAGACGGUCCUAUGGAUUGUAAACUGCUUUUAUUUGGGAAUAAACUCCGGUACGUGUACCGGCCUGAAGGUACCAAAUGAAUAAGCACCGGCUAACUCCGUGCCAGCAGCCGCGGUAAUACGGAGGGUGCAAGCGUUAUCCGGAAUCAUUGGGUUUAAAGGGUCCGCAGGCGGUCUUAUAAGUCAGUGGUGAAAGCCUACAGCUCAACUGUAGAACUGCCAUUGAUACUGUAGGACUUGAAUUCGAUCGAAGUGGGCGGAAUGUGACAUGUAGCGGUGAAAUGCUUAGAUAUGUCACAGAACACCGAUAGCGAAGGCAGCUCACUAGGUCUGGAUUGACGCUCAGGGACGAAAGCGUGGGGAGCAAACAGGAUUAGAUACCCGAGUAGUCC
RNAcentral lists this ribosomal RNA (445 nucleotides) under uncultured bacterium. RNAcentral describes it as "partial 16S ribosomal RNA". It matches the Rfam family "Bacterial small subunit ribosomal RNA", at positions 354 to 796 of the family's 1533-position model. The record is from RNAcentral.